This 496-nucleotide ribosomal RNA is filed under the name uncultured bacterium. RNAcentral describes it as "partial 16S ribosomal RNA". It matches the Rfam family "Bacterial small subunit ribosomal RNA", at positions 28 to 506 of the family's 1533-position model. The record is from RNAcentral.
GAUGAACGCUGGCGGCGUGCCUAAUACAUGCAAGUCGAGCGAACAGACGAGGAGCUUGCUCCUCUGACGUUAGCGGCGGACGGGUGAGUAACACGUGGAUAACCUACCUAUAAGACUGGGAUAACUUCGGGAAACCGGAGCUAAUACCGGAUAAUAUAUUGAACCGCAUGGUUCAAUAGUGAAAGACGGUUUUGCUGUCACUUAUAGAUGGAUCCGCGCCGCAUUAGCUAGUUGGUAAGGUAACGGCUUACCAAGGCAACGAUGCGUAGCCGACCUGAGAGGGUGAUCGGCCACACUGGAACUGAGACACGGUCCAGACUCCUACGGGAGGCAGCAGUAGGGAAUCUUCCGCAAUGGGCGAAAGCCUGACGGAGCAACGCCGCGUGAGUGAUGAAGGUCUUCGGAUCGUAAAACUCUGUUAUUAGGGAAGAACAAAUGUGUAAGUAACUAUGCACGUCUUGACGAUACCUAAUCAGAAAGCCACGGCUAACUACGU